RNAcentral lists this ribosomal RNA (315 nucleotides) under uncultured fungus. Its description in RNAcentral is "eukaryotic LSU rRNA". The stretch from base 1 to 70 matches the Rfam family "5.8S ribosomal RNA", at positions 84 to 154 of the family's 154-position model. The record is from RNAcentral. Lineage: Eukaryota; Fungi.
GUGAGUCAUCGAGUCUUGAACGCACAUUGCACUCCCUGGUUCGCCAGAGAGUAUACCUGUUUGAGUAUCAACUAGUCAUCUACGCCUAGCGUGGGACAUGGCGGUUCGCGCGAGCAGCCGCUCUGCGCAAUCCGCUGAAAAGCAUGCAGGCUAGCACAUGUAUGUGCGUCCAAAGUGUGGUGAGACAAUGACCGAAGCACUAAGGGGGCGUGGCAGCGUGUGGCCGAGCGGCAACCGUGUAUCCGUACACACGACAAAGUGAUCUCAAAUCAGGCAGGACUACCCGCUGAACUUAAGCAUAUCAAUAAGGCGAGG